This is a long non-coding RNA of Columba livia (rock pigeon), 5054 nucleotides long. RefSeq lists it as uncharacterized. The record is from RefSeq and is a predicted model, not a curated record. The transcript has 2 exons. NCBI's taxonomy places the organism in Eukaryota, Metazoa, Chordata, Aves, Columbiformes, Columbidae.
CCCGGGCCGGGAGCCCCGGUUCCCCCGGGCGGGCAGCGGGAGCCGCUUGGGGCGUGCGGGGAGAGCGCUCGGGCGGCGGAAUUGCUGGCGUGGCCGGCUCGGGGGGGCGGGGGCGGCUCCGGCUCUUCGCGGGCUCUCUCGGCCCCGUCUCUUGCGCUCUGGAGAAAGCGGGAACUCUCUGGAAACGAGGAGACCGACUGAGCAGCAGAGGCAGUGCUGCUGUUGGGCGGCAUUCUUUAUUUCAUCAGCGCUGGGCAGCACUGGUAGAGACUUACAUCUGGGCAGGAACAAGCCCAGGUUCCAGUCUGAGCUGGGGAAGGACCUGUUGGAGAGCAGUGUAGGGAAAGGGACCUGGGGGUGCUGAGGACAGCAGGGUGACCAUGAGCCAGCACUGGCCCUUGUGGCCAGGAAGCCAAUGGGACCUGGGGGGGCUAGAAGGGGGUGGUCAGUAGGCCAGAGAGGUUCUCCUGCCCCUCUGCUCUGCCCUGGGGAGACCACACCUGGAAUAUUGUGUCCAGCUGUGGCCCCUCAGUUCCAGCAGGACAGGGAACUGCUGGAGAGAGUCCAGCGCAGCCACCAAGAUGCUGGAGGGAGUGGAGCAUCUCCCGUGUGAGGAAAGGCUGAGGGAGCUGGGGCUCUGGAGCUGGACAAGAGGAGACUGAGGGGGGACUCAUUCCUGGGGAUCAAGAUGGAAAGGGGCAGUGUCAGGAGGAUGGAGCCAGGCUCUUCUGGUGACAACCAGGGACAGGACAAGGGGCAAUGGGUGCAAACUGGAACACAGGAGGUUCCACUGAAAGAGGAGAAGCAACUUGUUCCUGGUGAGGGUGGCAGAGCCUGGCCCAGGCUGCCCAGGGGGUUGUGGAGUCUCCUUCUGUGCAGACAUUCCAACCCCCUGGACACCUUCCUGUGUAACCUCAUCUGGGUGUUCCUGCUCCAUGGGGGGAUUGCACUGGAUGAGCUUUCCAGGGCCCUCAGGAUCGCUGGCAUUCUGUGAUUCUGUGAAUCAUCCUCCCCUCGUUUUGCAGGUGCUCAGAAAGCAUUUACCAUGUCCUUGGUUAACGAUGGGUGCGUCUGUUGUAAGUGAAUCACAGUGUAUAUGAACUGAGCUGCUUCUCUCCACUCUCCAUCCCCAGCUGUGCUCUCAGGCGGGCAGCCCCGCUGGGGCCGAUGCCCAGUGAGGAUCCUGAUGUCGGCAACUUAGAAGCGCUGGAAAAAUCCCGCAGUGUCAGUGGGUCCCUGAGGCUGGCGGAGAAGGAGCAGGGAGCCGCGCUGGGGGCAGACGGCCCGGCAGCACAGCAGCCCCAGCCGGGUCCUCGCCCAAGGGGCUGCGCCGUGCGGGGUUUGGAGGUCAAGGCAGCUGUUGCUGGGGCUGCGUUUUGCCCCAAACUGUGCUCUGGAGAGAGCUGAUGAGGGGCUUUGGCACAAGGUUGGCCCUUUUCUGAUGGAGAAGUUUGCAGAGUGCAAAUGUUUCAGGGAACCGGAUGGCAGUUCUGGGAGGAGGGAGGCUGGCCAGGACCUGCCAAGAGACCUGGAGCAGAGUAGAGGAGUGAUUCCGUGGAACCAUAGGAUCAUUUGAUUGGAAAAGACCCUCAAGACCAUUGAGUCCAACCAUAACCCACCCCCAGCACUGGCCCGUGUCCUGAGAACCUCAUGUCCGUCUGUCCAGCCCUCCAGGGCUGGUGACUCCAGCACUGCCCUGGGCAGCCUGUUCAAUGCCCCACAGCCCUUUGGGGAAGAAAUUGUUCCCACAUCCAGCCUCAACCUCCCCUGGCGCAACUUGAGGCCGUUUCAUCUUGUCCUAAACCCAGUAGUGUCAGAGGAACCAGAGCAGGAACCAGAGCUGUAGAGCACCUGCAGCAAAUAACCCAGUUUGGCUGCAGAGAGCAGAGCUGCUCCUGGGCUGGGAAACCGCUGGGCCUGGGGUGCGAUGAGCUGGGGGAGGAGGCGGCAGACGCGUGCAGGUGCCGAGGGAGGCAGAGGUGGUAGAUUCGAGUCUCUGCUGGCUUGGAGUUUGUGUCUCUUUCACAGCCACUCUAACGCUCUGCAGGCGCUUUGUGUUUGGGUAUUUUGGGUAUUGGAAUUUAUCAGGUAUGUGGUUUUUUCUCCCCUGUCUGAAGAGCCAAAGAACAACAUCAGCCUGCUGCGUGAGAAGCUGCUGCGGGCAAAGGAAAUCAAGGCAAGAAAGAAGACCCCGAGGGAGAACCGCCAGAACCUCCUGUAUCCAAACGAGCGUGGUCAGCAGGACAAGGGCAGUGACCCUUCCCCUGUGCUCUGCAUUGGGGAGGCCACACCUGGAGUGUUGUGUUCAGUUCUGGGCCCCUCAGCUCAGGAAAGAGAUUGAAGUGCUGGAGCGGGUCCAGAGAAGAGCAACAAGACUGGGGAAGGGACUGAACACAAGACCCAUGGGGAGAGGCUGAGGGAGCUGGGCUUGUUUAGUCUGGAGAAGAGGAGGCUUAGAGCUGAGCUCAGCACUCUCUAGAACUACCUGAAGGGCAGUUCUAGCCAGGGGGGGAUUGGUCUCUUCUCCCUGGCAUCAGCAAUAGGACAAGGGGCCAUGGGCUUCAACUCUGCCAGGGGAAAUUGAGGCUGGAGAUUAGGAAGCAAUUCUUUGCAGAGAGAGUGAUCAGGCAUUGGAAUGGCUGCCCAGGGAGGUGCUGGACUCACCGGCCCUGGAGGGUUUUAAGCUGAGAUUGGACAAAGCGCUUAGUGCCAUGAUCUAGUGAACGGACUGGAGUUGGACCAAGGGCUGGACUGGAUGAUCUCUGAGGGCUUUUCCAACCCAGUCCAUUCUGUGAUUCUGUAAUGCCGAGCUGGAAAGAGCAGCGUGGCUCCGGACAGGUGUGUGCCCCGCCACCCCCUCCCUGCCCCGCGCUGGGUCCCCCGGUGUCACCUCCAGCGUUUCCCUCUCCUCGCAGCGCUGAUCCCCCUCGACGAGCUCAGAGCUGAGCGGGAGCAGAGCAGCGGCCCGUUCCACAAGCAGCGCGUGGCCGAGCACUGCGCGGUGUUUGGUGACUUGUUCCGAGGGGCCACGUUCCCCCCGGGUCACCUUGAGGGUGGCGUACAGCCAGGCAGACGAGCACGCCGUGCCGGUCUGCUAUGGGAACAUGGUGACUCCGUCAGAGGAGUGGGGGGUGCGGGGCACAGCCUUGGCCCCACGGGAAGCCUCGGUGGUUUCCUCAGACGCUCCCGAUGGGCAUUGUCUGCCCCGGGGGGUUUUGUUUAGAAGGGUAUUUGCUCUGUGAUGAUCCAAACUUGUUUCUUGGACGUGAUAAAGACAGAGCGUUGCAGCAGGACGGCUGUCUGUCAGCAGGCUGAUGCUUCUGAAGGCUCUGGGCGCUCUCCGGUGGAGCCGGAUGACUUGGUGUCGCGGCCAUGCCUGGUCUGUGCUGGGUCCUGGCCGUGCCCGUGCCCGGUUCGUGUUCUUUGCCUUGGAAAUCAUGACCUGAUCUUAAUGGAACGUGUUGUUGCAGUGACAGACAUUCUGUUUUGUGGCUCAUUUAGGCUUCCAGUCCUCCCGCGGUGUCAUCCCAGGCAGAUAAAGGCUCCCUGCGGACUGUGCUGCUCACAAACCCAGAAGGACGUUGAAGGGACGCGCACUCGGAGCACCCGCGCUGGCUGGAGUGAGUACCGCACGGCAGAGCCGCGCUGCUGGGCUCGGGGAAAGCCCCGGCGGAGCGGGCAGAAACUCCUUCAACAGCGCUCGGGAAUACGGAUUUGCUGAGAUUUUCUGUGGUUCUCUGGUGCUCCUGCCAGUGCUGCUUCACGCCCAUGUUCUGGGUCCUGCUAAAGACGCAGGAGAUCAGGUGUUGCUGCUGUUUGGCUUUCAAAACGCUGAGUGUGAGGUUUUUUCCCAGUGAAAGCAGCCUCUGCUGUCUGUUUGCUUGUCAAACAGGGCGUAGGUUACGUCCCAACGGAGCCCAGAGUGAUGUGUGAUCCUGGGGGAAUCUGCUGGCCCUGGGGGAGGGAAAUGAACGGAUAUAUAGUGCAGUAAACUUGUGUGUGUUCAGGACGAACAUCCCAGGCAACGACAUGCAGUGGGGUAAGGAGAUCUGCCGCCACCUGCCCCCCUUCCCCGCCAUGGGCACUGGCUGCCAUCGCUUCAUCUUCUGCCCUUCAAGCCAGAACCGCCCAUCGACUCCAGCGAGGAUGUUGGCGCAGGCCCUGGUCACUGGGGCUGUUGCUGGGCGGUUCACGCUCUCUUGGCCAGGCUGUUCUUGCGUGUUCUGGUGACAAGGUCGUGACUGCUGGAGGAGAGCAAGUUCCUUGGAGUCUGCAGGGUUGCUCAGGGCUGCUCUGAGUUUGUGUCGCCUGAAGCCGCAAUCCCAGCCCUGCAAGCACUGUGCUGUCCUGUUGCUUUAAACCGGGCCGGUAAGAAAGUGGGUUUUUUCCUGCCUGGAGCAGGAAUGUGCAGAGGGCUGGGGAAGCUGGGAGGAGUUUCAAUGUGCCUUCCUUUUCCACCUCUGUUUUACAGACUCGGGGGUGCUGUGGGGAAGUAGUUGCCAGCCAGAGUGCUGCAAGAAACGGGAAUCACCUCAGCUCUUGUGCUUGUGUCUUGUUUCCAGCCACAGGCUCGAGAUGUGAACCUUGCGCACGUGUGACUUGUACAGAAAGCACGAGGAUGCCGUGACCCCGGCAGGGCUGCCGUUCCAACAGUGUUUCGAUGUUACAUUCUAUGGAAACGCCGUAGAACAAAUUGUGGCUGCUGUUGUUUAUCUGCUACAAUUUCUGUAGCAUUUUUAGACAAUUUUCGAAGUCGACUCUCGUCAGGAAUCCAGGAUCUUGUGCUGACCUGCAUGUUGCUCCUUCUGCACGUUGUCCUCGAUUAAUGCUGACCUGAGGGAUUUAUCUGCAGCACAACACGGUGUAGAUACUAAAUCAGGUCUGGAAGCCAUCUCAGGAGAUGGAUUAGCUCGUCAUUGCAUCAAAAAUAGAAGGAAUGCUACUUCCUUGUUUCCUGUGCUUAUGUAAUAAGGCACAUACGUGGUAGUAACAGAGCCCGUGGCCCCUGUACUUCAUGUGCUUAUAACAGAGUAAAAAUAAAUUGUUAAAAUGAA